GUCUGGCUCACCUGGCUGUGUCCUUCCAGGCUCCUGUGGGGGCUUUCUCAUUUGCAAAGCUAUCAGAUGCUCAAAGCAGGUCCUCUGGAGCCCCAGUGGAGACCACAGUGCCAGGCAGAGCUUUUCCCCACCUGAGCAGGCAUCUCUGACUCCACAAACAAACCAAGGAGGUUCUGCAAGCUGGUGGUGAGAUUGGAACCCACCUUGCUUUUUCUGCCCUCCAUGUGGUUGAAGAGGGGGAGAGAGAGAGAAGAGAGGAAAGAAGAGAGAAGAGAGGAGG
Molecule: long non-coding RNA, 280 nt
Filed under: Fukomys damarensis (Damara mole-rat)
Lineage: Eukaryota; Metazoa; Chordata; Mammalia; Rodentia; Bathyergidae
Description: lncRNA (ENSFDAG00000022621.1)
Source: RNAcentral